GAUGAAAACGCAGCGAAAUGCGAUAAGUAGUGUGAAUUGCAGAAUUCCGUGAAUCAUCGAAUCUUUGAACGCACAUUGCGCCUUCUGGUAUUCCGGAAGGCAUGCCUGUUCGAGAGUCAUUAACAACCGUUUCGAUCCCUUUCUUUCAGAAAUUACAAAGAGGAAAAGGGUUUGGUUAUGGUGGAGGAGGGAAAGGGAGCGUUUAGCCUGUAAAAAAAGAGGCUGUGUUCCGCCUCCCCCCCAAAAUUGUACAGGCGGUCGUGUGCGCCCACGCAUCGAGGUGUUGUAAAAGCUGCCACGGCACUUUUCACCUGUGCAGUGCGAGAUUGGCCAGCCGGUUUAAAAACCCCUCCAAACAAUCAAAGGUUGACCUCGGAUCAGGUAGGGAUACCCGCUGAACUUAAGCAUAUCAAUAAGCGGAGGA
RNAcentral lists this unclassified non-coding RNA (424 nucleotides) under soil metagenome. Its description in RNAcentral is "partial contains 5.8S ribosomal RNA, internal transcribed spacer 2, and large subunit ribosomal RNA". The stretch from base 1 to 119 matches the Rfam family "5.8S ribosomal RNA", at positions 35 to 154 of the family's 154-position model. The record is from RNAcentral.